This 77-nucleotide transfer RNA is filed under the name Saussurea gossipiphora. Its description in RNAcentral is "tRNA-Thr". It matches the Rfam family "tRNA". From Rfam's summary of the family: Transfer RNA (tRNA) molecules are approximately 80 nucleotides in length. Their secondary structure includes four short double-helical elements and three loops (D, anti-codon, and T loops). The record is from RNAcentral. Lineage: Eukaryota; Viridiplantae; Streptophyta; Magnoliopsida; Asterales; Asteraceae.
GCCCUUUUAACUUAACUCAGUGGUAGAGUAAUGCCAUCGUAAAGCAUAAGCCCUCGGUUCAAAUCCGAUAAGGGGCU